Molecule: ribosomal RNA, 462 nt
Filed under: Blastocystis sp. subtype 5
Lineage: Eukaryota; Bigyra; Opalinata; Blastocystidae
Description: partial small subunit ribosomal RNA
Rfam family: Eukaryotic small subunit ribosomal RNA
Source: RNAcentral
UGCAUUGGGUUGGGGACCAUUGGACAAAUGUUAUCGAUAAACAAUUGGAGGGCCAGUCUGGGGCCAGCCGCCGGGGUAAUUCCCGCUCCCAUAGCGGAUAUUAACGGUGUUGCAGUUAAAAAGCUCGGAGGUGAAAUGGGGGAAGGAGGAUAUUAUGGAUUUUAAAUUUCAUUUUAUAUUGGUUCCCCUCUCCCAUUUAAUAUUAAGGGUAUUAAUUUAUUUGGAAAAAGAAUUGGUCCUUUACUGGGAGAAAAUUAGAGGGUUCCAAGGAGGGCUUUGGUUGGAUAGAUUAGCAUGGAAAAAUAAUAAAAGGCUUUUAUGGUCCAUUUAAUUGGUUUGUUCCUAAAAACCAGAUUUAAAAGGACAGGUGGGGGGAUUCCUAUUCCAUAAGUAGGAGGGGAAUUCUCGGAUUUAAUGAAGAAGAAAAGGGCCCAAAAAAAAAGUGUUUGUUUGUUCCCCCAA